Sapajus apella (tufted capuchin) is the source of this 658-nucleotide long non-coding RNA. RefSeq lists it as uncharacterized. The record is from RefSeq and is a predicted model, not a curated record. The transcript has 2 exons. NCBI's taxonomy places the organism in Eukaryota, Metazoa, Chordata, Mammalia, Primates, Cebidae.
UUCUUUAGUUACUUGGGAAUUACUUGAAAAUGUAUUAGGUAUAACUGUUUCAAAAGAUAUGUUUUUUCAUAUACCUUAGAAAACAAUAGAUAUUUGUUCAGCUGUCUAAUUGUGGGUGUGCAUUUAAAAUGUGUAUUGUGAUUCCAAAAUUUUCUCUACCUAGAAGGGGAAUACAACACGUGGGAUUAUUAUUGCUGAUGACGCCAGAUAAUAUUUUGCCCAAACUCCUGAGCACUGGACAAAUACAGAACAAGAUAACAAGAGUUCCCAGCAAAGGAGUCAGGUUGGUAUUCAUACUAUCUCCCUUUUUAACCUCCUCCCCAGCCUUUUGGGUUUUAUUUUCUGUGGUGAUUGCAUCUCCAGCACACUGCUUUUUGUGUUCAUGACGGACAGGGCUUCUUUACUAGCUCUUGAACCUAACAAGCAUCCUAGUGGUUUUGAUUUCAGUGUGAUUUAUUUGCCUUUCUUAUCAGGCUAACCAGAAUGCUUUUAUCAGCCAUAUUAACUUGUAACACAGUGGAACUGGGUUUGCAGGUAAAAAAAAAAUGAGAUUUUUCAGUGAUGUACCUAUCCCUAAGAGGCCCUCUUUUCUGAGAUCUAUAAUGAAAAAUACUACUGUUAGCCAUGGAUUAAUUCUUUUUCUUAUGAAGCCACCAUU